This 253-nucleotide ribosomal RNA is filed under the name uncultured bacterium. Its description in RNAcentral is "partial 16S ribosomal RNA". It matches the Rfam family "Bacterial small subunit ribosomal RNA", at positions 524 to 776 of the family's 1533-position model. The record is from RNAcentral.
UACGGGGGGGGCAAGCGUUGUUCGGAAUUACUGGGCGUAAAGGGCUCGUAGGCGGCCAACUAAGUCAGACGUGAAAUCCCUCGGCUUAACCGGGGAACUGCAUCUGAUACUGGAUGGCUUGAGAUUGGGAGAGGGAUGCGGAAUUCCAGGUGUAGCGGUGAAAUGCGUAGAUAUCUGGAGGAACACCGGUGGCGAAGGCGGCAUCCUGGACCAUUACUGACGCUGAGGCGCGAAAGCUAGGGGAGCAAACGGG